UACGGAGGAUGCAAGCGUUAUCCGGAAUGAUUUGGCGUAAAGCGUCCGCAGGUGGCAGUUCAAGUCUGCUGUCAAAGACCGGGGCUUAACUUCGGAAAGGCAGUGGAAACUGAACAGCUAGAGUAUGGUAGGGGCAGAGGGAAUUCCUGGUGUAGCGGUGAAAUGCGUAGAGAUCAGGAAGAACACCGGUGGCGAAGGCGCUCUGCUGGGCCGUAACUGACACUGAGGGACGAAAGCUAGGGGAGCGAAUGGG
RNAcentral lists this ribosomal RNA (253 nucleotides) under uncultured bacterium. RNAcentral describes it as "partial 16S ribosomal RNA". It matches the Rfam family "Bacterial small subunit ribosomal RNA", at positions 524 to 776 of the family's 1533-position model. The record is from RNAcentral.